This 555-nucleotide ribosomal RNA is filed under the name uncultured bacterium. RNAcentral describes it as "partial 16S ribosomal RNA". It matches the Rfam family "Bacterial small subunit ribosomal RNA", at positions 355 to 900 of the family's 1533-position model. The record is from RNAcentral.
UAGGGAAUCUUCCACAAUGGACGCAAGUCUGAUGGAGCAACGCCGCGUGAGUGAAGAAGGUUUUCGGACCGUAAAGCUCUGUUGUUGGUGAAGAAGGAUAGAGGUAGUAACUGGCCUUUAUUUGACGGUAAUCAACCAGAAAGUCACGGCUAACUACGUGCCAGCAGCCGCGGUAAUACGUAGGUGGCAAGCGUUGUCCGGAUUUAUUGGGCGUAAAGCGAGCGCAGGCGGAAGAAUAAGUCUGAUGUGAAAGCCCUCGGCUUAACCGAGGAAUUGCAUCGGAAACUGUUUUCUUGAGUGCAGAAGAGGAGAGUAGAACUCCAUGUGUAGCGGUGGAAUGCGUAGAUAUAUGGAAGAAUACCAGUGGCGAAGGCGGCUCUCUGGUCUGCAACUGACGCUGAGGCUCGAAAGCAUGGGUAGCGAACAGGAUUAGAUACCCUGGUAGUCCAUGCCGUAAACGAUGAGUGCUAAGUGUUGGGGAGGCUUCCGCCUCUCAGUGCUGCAGCUAACGCAUUAAGCACUGCGCCUGGGGGAGUACGACCGCAAGGUUGAAAC